UACGUAGGGCGCAAGCGUUGUCCGGAAUUAUUGGGCGUAAAAGAGCUCGUAGGCGGUCUGUCGCGUCGGCUGUGAAAACCCGAGGCUCAACCUCGGGCCUGCAGUCGAUACGGGCAGACUGGAGUACUGCAGGGGAGACUGGAAUUCCUGGUGUAGCGGUGGAAUGCGCAGAUAUCAGGAGGAACACCGGUGGCGAAGGCGGGUCUCUGGGCCAUUACUGACGCUGAGGAGCGAAAGCGUGGGGAGCGAACAGG
RNAcentral lists this ribosomal RNA (254 nucleotides) under uncultured bacterium. RNAcentral describes it as "partial 16S ribosomal RNA". It matches the Rfam family "Bacterial small subunit ribosomal RNA", at positions 524 to 776 of the family's 1533-position model. The record is from RNAcentral.